ACUUUUAUAAGUAUUUAAUUUAUAAUUUUACAAGUAAAAAAAAAAUUUUCAAUGAUAUUAGCAAUGGCUAAUGUACAAAUUGAUGAUGAUAUUUAUGAUGGAUAUAAUGACUAUCCAUCAAUAUAUAAUAUUAAAGAUUUUGAACAAGAUGAAUUAUUCCAAGAAACACUCAAUACAAGUUAUGCAAAAAGAUUAAUUUUCACACCAAAAGUGCCAGGAAGUGCUAUGCGUUUAGGUACAUCGACAGGAUUUCAUAGAAGUGGUACUAGUGUAUCUAUGCGUUCUAUUACUAGUGGACUUAGGCCAAUGACUGCAGUCAGAGGUGCUGGUUAUACUAGUAGUACUCGUCAAACAUUUGAUCCAUUAAAUAUGAGUAGUUCUGCCAAAGGUUCCGUACCACCUUUAGAAAAUGGAAAGGAUGACACACCUGAAGAAAAGAUAAAAGUUGCUGAAAAAAGAAUUAUGGAUUUAAUAGAAAGUUCAGUAGAAGCAGCAUAUGAAAAUAAUAUAAGAGUAGCUUUAGAAAGAGCAAGAGAAGCAUCUUCAAGAGAAAGAACUCUCAUUAGAUUACAAGAACAAGCUGGGCUUAGUGAUAAUCAUAAUGUAGAUUUAACAUUUGCUGUCAUUUUCAAUUUAGCAACUCAAUAUACUAACAAUAAUAUGUUUACUGAAGCUAUAGCAACUUAUCAAGCUAUAACAAGAAAUAGAAUGUUCAGUAAUAGUGCUAGAUUAAAAGUAAAUAUGGGAAAUAUAUAUGUUAAAAUGGGACAAUUAUCUCAAGCAAUUAAAAUGUACAGAAUGGCAUUUGAUCAAGCUCCAGCAGCUCAUAAAGAUUUAAGAAUAAAAAUAAUGCAUAACAUUGGAAUGCUAUUUGUACAAAUGGGUCGUUUAGAAGAAGCAGCUAAUAGUUUUGAAUGGGUUAUGAAAGAAAGACCUGAAUUUAAAGCAGGCUUGCAUGCUGUUUUAUGCCAUUUUGCAUUGUCUCAUAGGGAUAAAAUGAAAAGAUCAUUUUUAGAAUUGUUAGAGGUUCAGCUUAACAUAGAUCAGGAGGACAGAUAUAAUAUAAGUACAGAUGAUGUCGCUUUUAAUAUAUUGAAUGAAAUUUUAAAAAAUGAUGAUUUAUCUAAGUUAGAGAAAGAAUUAAAAUCAGAAGCAGAAAGAACUAUUCUUUGUGCUGCAAAACUCAUAGCACCCGUAAUUGAAGAUACUCUUACAGCUGGCUUUGCUUGGUGUGUAGAUACUAUAAAGUCUUCAGCUUAUGGUCUAUUAGCUGCUGAUUUAGAAAUAAAUAAAGCUAUGGUAUUUUUACAUAAUCGGGAUACCCAGUUGGCUAUUGAUACUUUGAAAAUGUUUGAAAAUCGUGAAAGUAAAGCUAAUAGUUCAGCUGCAACUAUGCUUUCUUUUAUUUAUUUUCUCCAAGGAGAUUAUGAUCAGGCGGAAAGAUGCGGAGAAAUUGCUCGAAAUGCAGAUAGUUAUAAUGCAGCUGCUUAUGUUAAUUUAUCAGCAUGUGCAAUUAAAAAGGGUGAAUUAAAUAUUGCUAGAGAACUUCUUUUAUGUGCAUUAGAUACAGAUGCUAGUCAUAUACAAGCUCUUUAUAAUUUAGGAUUAGUAUAUAAAAAACAAAAUAUGUAUGAAGAAGCAUUGGAAUGCUUUUGGAAAGUUCGUAAUAUCGUUAGACAUGAUCCACAAACAGUAUAUCAAAUUGGUCAGUUAUAUCAACUUAUGGACGACAUAGAUCAAGCAACAGAUUGGUAUAAUCAAUUACUUGGUAUAAUACCAUGUGAUCCUGGAAUUCUACAAAAAAUAGGCGAAAUGUAUGAUGCUGCUGGAGAUAAACAACAAGCAUAUCAAUUUUAUAGUGAUUCUUAUAGAUUCUUUCCCGCUAAUUUUGAAGUAAUUGAUUGGCUUGGAUCAUAUUUCGUAUCAAUGCAAAUUGCUGAAAAAGCACUAGUUUAUUUCAAAAAAGCAGUCGAACUUGCUCCCGAUGAGCCAAGAUGGCGAUUACUUGUUGCUGCAUGUUUAAGACGAAUUGGUCAAUUUCAUAAAGCUGUUUUAGAAUAUCAAGAUAUUCAUAAUAAGUUUCCUGAAAAUAUUGAAUGCUUAAAAUUCUUAGUUCGUUUAUGUAGUGAUCUCGGCUUAAAAGAAGCGCAAUUAUAUGCAACAGAAUUAAAGCGCGCAGAGAAAGCGAAAGAAUUAAAGGAUAGACAAAUAUCAGCAAGACCAGGGUCAAGAAGGAGUAAUAGUGGAGCAUCAUCACGAACUGGUUCUGGAAUGAGUGUAAUCUCAGAUCAUAGAUCAAGUCCUAUUUUUAAUAGAAAAGAAAAUCAAAAUUUAAGUAGUGCUGAUAUCAUUCGUUCUAAUCGAAUUUCUGCAGUUGAAAAUAUUACGGAAUCUACAAUUGAUAUGACUGAUCAAACAGUUCAAGCAGUGGGGAAGCGAGAAUCUGGAGGCUCGACCAGUUGCUGCUCUGAAACGGAGUACAUUUUACGGUAUUCAAUACACGUGUUUAUACGUGUGCGUGCUCUGAUACGAUUCGAGAAACUUUAUAAUCACUGACCAGUAACUGGAUCCUGCAAAGAAUAGAAGAUCAGAAGCUGAAGCGAUCACGGAAAUCGGCAAUCAUACGUAGAAAGUGUUAGGGUGAGCUUGUGUUUUUUAUUUUCCUAGAACAGGCCAUACGCACUAGUUGGCGCCAUCAGGCUCGUUGAUCCUUGACAAUAGAAGUUAUCUGUUAUCGCUGCGCCAGUUAUUAAUUUAAGCAACUCAAGAAAACGAUGUAAAAGUGAUCAUUAUUCGAAUCACUAUAAUGCAGUGCAUCGAUCCGAAGAGAGAAAACGUUGGACUGCUGCUUCUUCAAGACGAGAUGAUAUAAUUCAUACGACUCGAUUAUUCGGCUUAUCAAACGUUAUAAAAUAUCGUGGACUUUCAACUUUUAGUUUAAUAGUGAGACUGUGGCGUUAUCAUUUUACCGAAUGUCGAGGGAAGGAGGGAAAAUAAAUAAGCGAGUAAUAAUAAACGGUGCGAUCUCAUUAACUCGUGCUCAGAACGUCUCUCGUGCUCGUGGAGAACCACGCGACUGUUUGUCUUGUCGCGUACACCUUAUCAUCCGUCUUGUAAAUUCAUUCACAUUCGUCUCGUAGCGUGGCUUCUCUCAUUCAAAAAUCUUCUAUCUGAGGAUAACGUAAGCGGUAAUCA
This is an RNA transcript of Apis dorsata (giant honeybee), 3195 nucleotides long. It is a transcript of the gene named intraflagellar transport protein 88 homolog, with no coding region annotated. NCBI's taxonomy places the organism in Eukaryota, Metazoa, Arthropoda, Insecta, Hymenoptera, Apidae. The record is from RefSeq and is a predicted model, not a curated record. The transcript is spliced from 15 exons.